GAUGAAGAACGCAGCGAAAUGCGAUAGGUAGUGUGAAUUGCAGAAUUCAGUGAAUCAUCGAAUCUUUGAACGCACAUUGCGCCCCUUGGUAUUCCAUGGGGCAUGCCUGUUCGAGCGUCAUCUACACCCUCAAGCUCUGCUUGGUGUUGGGCGUCUGUCCCGCCCCCGCGCGUGGACUCGCCCCAAAUCCAUUGGCAGCGUUCCUUGCCCCCUCUCGCGCAGCACAUUGCGCUUCUCGAGGGCGGCUCCGGGACGCGAUCCAGCAAGAUGACCACCGUCUUUGACCUCGGAUCAGGUAGGGAUACCCGCUGAACUUAAGCAUAUCAAUAAGCGGAGGA
Molecule: unclassified non-coding RNA, 338 nt
Filed under: soil metagenome
Description: partial contains 5.8S ribosomal RNA, internal transcribed spacer 2, and large subunit ribosomal RNA
Rfam family: 5.8S ribosomal RNA (bases 1-120)
Source: RNAcentral